Molecule: long non-coding RNA, 2746 nt
Filed under: Chrysolophus pictus (golden pheasant)
Lineage: Eukaryota; Metazoa; Chordata; Aves; Galliformes; Phasianidae
Description: lncRNA (ENSCPIG00010001667.1)
Source: RNAcentral
AUGCCCCGUCCCAUCUGUAAGGAUGUCUCCCAUCCCAGAGACAUUCGAGAUGGGGCUGGAGGGGGAUCUGAGCAGCCUGAUGUAGCUGUGAACGUCCUUGUUCACUGCAGGGGAGUCAGGCUAGAAGACCUUUUAGGGUCCCUUCCAACUCAAGUGAUUGGGGAAUCCUCCCUUGGAGACAGAACCCAUCCGCAGCACCCGACGUUGGCUUGGAGGAGGGCUUUGGGGGGCUUUGGGGGGCUCCCCACACCCCCACCCCACAUUCCCCCAGGUUCCCUACCGCCUGCGCCAGCUGACGGCCCUACAGCGACGCUCGCUUUACGUCGGACCCCAAACGGUGACCGCGACCCCACAACUCCCAGGGCUUUUCCAAGGGAUGGAGAUGAAACCCCACGAAACCAAGGGCGGUCACCGCGUCACCCAGUUCCUCACCUACAACUGCCUGGCGACGGACGCAGACCUUUACAACGAGUGCCUCCGGAGCUUCUGGACGUGUCCCCACUGUGGGCUCCAUGCACCCUUCACCCCCAUGGAGCGAGUCUGCCACGAGAACGCGUGCCGGCCGCCCGACGCCCCCCCAGAAGAGGAACCCCAAAGCUGCCCCCAACCCUCAGCCCUGCAGCGGCCGUUCCGCUGCGAUGUGUGCCAGCAGGAUUUUUCCUUCACCCCCACCGAGAUCCUCCGGCACCGACGGCAGCACCGCUGAUGGGAGAAACCCCAAAAGGAUUUGGGGCAUCCCCUGUGCAGCCGGAAGAAUCCUCAUCACCGAACGACGUCGUGACGAUUUUGGGAAAACGAAACGAUUCUCCUCGCUUCCAGCCCAGGCCGGCGGCGUUUCUCCCCUCUCUCAAAUUUCACCUUCACGCUUCUCAGGCCGCCUUAAUGAGGAGAUGGAAUUAACAGAUUAAUGGUGGCUCAUCAGUGCGAUGUGUGACAUCGGUGCGACGCAGGCGGACCCCUCCGCGGCCCUGGUUUGGUGGUCCUGCAGGGCUGACGUGGAGAAAUUUGGCGUCGCUGGGCACAAAACGUGUGGGGUUUCAUCCCAUCCCAUUCCCUGUCCCCAGUCCCUCAUCUCAGUUCCAUUCCCCAUCCCAUUUCCAUCCCAAAUUCCCCAUCUCAGUUCCAUUCCCCAUCCCAUUUCCAUCCCAAAUUCCCCAUCUCAGUUCCAUUCCCCAUCCCAAACCCCAAUGUCGUUCCCCAUUCCCCAUCCCCGAUCCCUCAUUCCAUUUCCAUUCCCCACCCCAUUUCCAUCCCAUCCCCAAUCCCCAUCCCAUCCCCAGUUCCCAUCCCAAUUCCCUUCCCCAUCCCAAUCCCAUCCCCAUCCCCAACCCAUUCCCCAUUUCCCGUCCCAAUUCCCAAUCCCAUCCCAAUCCCAUUCCCCAUUUCCCAUCCCAGUUCCCUUCCCCAUCCCAAUCCCAUCCCCAUCCCAUCCCAAAUCCAUUCCCCAUCCCCAAUCUCCCACUUAGGUUCUAUUCCCCAUCCCAAUCCCAUCCCCAUCCCCAACCCAUUCCCCAGUUCCCAUCCCAAUUCUAUUCCCCAUCCCAAUCCCAUCCUAAUCCCAUCCCAAAUCCGUUCCCCAUCCCCAAUCUCCCUCCUAGGUUCUAUUCCCCAUCCCAAUCCCAUCCCCAACCCAUUCCCCAUUCCCAAUUCCAAUUCCCUUCCCCAUCCCAUCCCAAUCCCAUCCCAAAUCCAUUCCCCAUCCCCAAUCUCCCACUUAGGUUCUAUUCCCCAUCCCAAUCCCUCCCCCAUCCCCAUCCCAUCCCCAUUUCCCAUCCCAAUUCCCUUCCCCAUCCCAAUCCCAUCCCCAUCCCCAACCCAUUCCCCAUUUCCCAUCCCAAUCCCAUCCCAAUCCCCAACCCAUUCCCCAUUUCCCAACCCAUUCCCCAUUCCCCAUCCCAAUCCCAUCCCAAUCCCCAACCCAUUCCCCAUUUCCCAUCCCCAUCCCAUCCCAAUCCCUCUACCCAAUCCCAUCCCCAGUUCCCAUUCCCCAUUCCCAAUCUCCCAUCCCAGUCCUUCCCAUUCCAGUUCCAUCCCCCCCCCCAACCCCACCCCAAAUCCCAUUCCAAAUCCGUUCCCAUUCCCAGUCUCCCAACCCUAUUCCAUUCCCAAUCCCAAUCCCAAUCCCAAUCCCCAUCCCAUAAUGACACACCCCCCUAUAGGGGCACCCCAUAUAUGGGGGAUCCCAACUGGGAUCCAAACUGGGGGAGAAAUCCCACAGAAUCCCACAAUUUUGGGGCAUUUUCUGCCCAUACGCAGGGAAGAAUUUCUUCAUUAGGAAGCAAUUAGCAGUCAUUACGAGCACGCCAACAUGAUGUAAUUAAGAGGGACGGGUUCGUUAAGGCAAGUGGAGCGGGUGGGAAAUUGGGGAUGUUGUGUGCGAGGGUCUUCCUUUCUUUUGGGGUCUCCCUUCUUUAAUUAAUUACCCAAAACAAUUAAAUGAAACAAGGCAAAAAUAUCAAACCCAGAGAAAUGGUAAUUAAGGGGUAAUUGCACUUACAGGUGGAAAAAAGACUUGUAAUUAAGGGAGUAACCUCGUUCAUGUGGGGAAACCUUUGUAAUUAAUGGGUAAUCCCAAUGUAGGGGGGGAAAAAUGCUCUUAAUUAAUGGGUAAUCUCAUUAAUGGGGGGAAAUAGCCCCCAAAUUAAGGGGUAAUCAAAAUGUAGGAGGGAAGGGAGUUAAUUAAGGGGUGAGUGUUCCCAUGAAUGGGGGGAAAUAGCCUCAAAAUAAAGGGGUGAUCUCAUUAGCA